RNAcentral lists this ribosomal RNA (2248 nucleotides) under Shigella sonnei. RNAcentral describes it as "partial 23S ribosomal RNA". It matches the Rfam family "Bacterial large subunit ribosomal RNA", at positions 712 to 2925 of the family's 2925-position model. The record is from RNAcentral. Lineage: Bacteria; Pseudomonadati; Pseudomonadota; Gammaproteobacteria; Enterobacterales; Enterobacteriaceae.
GACCCGAAACCCGGUGAUCUAGCCAUGGGCAGGUUGAAGGUUGGGUAACACUAACUGGAGGACCGAACCGACUAAUGUUGAAAAAUUAGCGGAUGACUUGUGGCUGGGGGUGAAAGGCCAAUCAAACCGGGAGAUAGCUGGUUCUCCCCGAAAGCUAUUUAGGUAGCGCCUCGUGAAUUCAUCUCCGGGGGUAGAGCACUGUUUCGGCAAGGGGGUCAUCCCGACUUACCAACCCGAUGCAAACUGCGAAUACCGGAGAAUGUUAUCACGGGAGACACACGGCGGGUGCUAACGUCCGUCGUGAAGAGGGAAACAACCCAGACCGCCAGCUAAGGUCCCAAAGUCAUGGUUAAGUGGGAAACGAUGUGGGAAGGCCCAGACAGCCAGGAUGUUGGCUUAGAAGCAGCCAUCAUUUAAAGAAAGCGUAAUAGCUCACUGGUCGAGUCGGCCUGCGCGGAAGAUGUAACGGGGCUAAACCAUGCACCGAAGCUGCGGCAGCGACGCUUAUGCGUUGUUGGGUAGGGGAGCGUUCUGUAAGCCUGCGAAGGUGUGCUGUGAGGCAUGCUGGAGGUAUCAGAAGUGCGAAUGCUGACAUAAGUAACGAUAAAGCGGGUGAAAAGCCCGCUCGCCGGAAGACCAAGGGUUCCUGUCCAACGUUAAUCGGGGCAGGGUGAGUCGACCCCUAAGGCGAGGCCGAAAGGCGUAGUCGAUGGGAAACAGGUUAAUAUUCCUGUACUUGGUGUUACUGCGAAGGGGGGACGGAGAAGGCUAUGUUGGCCGGGCGACGGUUGUCCCGGUUUAAGCGUGUAGGCUGGUUUUCCAGGCAAAUCCGGAAAAUCAAGGCUGAGGCGUGAUGACGAGGCACUACGGUGCUGAAGCAACAAAUGCCCUGCUUCCAGGAAAAGCCUCUAAGCAUCAGGUAACAUCAAAUCGUACCCCAAACCGACACAGGUGGUCAGGUAGAGAAUACCAAGGCGCUUGAGAGAACUCGGGUGAAGGAACUAGGCAAAAUGGUGCCGUAACUUCGGGAGAAGGCACGCUGAUAUGUAGGUGAAGUCCCUUGCGGAUGGAGCUGAAAUCAGUCGAAGAUACCAGCUGGCUGCAACUGUUUAUUAAAAACACAGCACUGUGCAAACACGAAAGUGGACGUAUACGGUGUGACGCCUGCCCGGUGCCGGAAGGUUAAUUGAUGGGGUCAGCGCAAGCGAAGCUCUUGAUCGAAGCCCCGGUAAACGGCGGCCGUAACUAUAACGGUCCUAAGGUAGCGAAAUUCCUUGUCGGGUAAGUUCCGACCUGCACGAAUGGCGUAAUGAUGGCCAGGCUGUCUCCACCCGAGACUCAGUGAAAUUGAACUCGCUGUGAAGAUGCAGUGUACCCGCGGCAAGACGGAAAGACCCCGUGAACCUUUACUAUAGCUUGACACUGAACAUUGAGCCUUGAUGUGUAGGAUAGGUGGGAGGCUUUGAAGUGUGGACGCCAGUCUGCAUGGAGCCGGCCUUGAAAUACCACCCUUUAAUGUUUGAUGUUCUAACGUGGACCCGUGAUCCGGGUUGCGGACAGUGUCUGGUGGGUAGUUUGACUGGGGCGGUCUCCUCCUAAAGAGUAACGGAGGAGCACGAAGGUUGGCUAAUCCUGGUCGGACAUCAGGAGGUUAGUGCAAUGGCAUAAGCCAGCUUGACUGCGAGCGUGACGGCGCGAGCAGGUGCGAAAGCAGGUCAUAGUGAUCCGGUGGUUCUGAAUGGAAGGGCCAUCGCUCAACGGAUAAAAGGUACUCCGGGGAUAACAGGCUGAUACCGCCCAAGAGUUCAUAUCGACGGCGGUGUUUGGCACCUCGAUGUCGGCUCAUCACAUCCUGGGGCUGAAGUAGGUCCCAAGGGUAUGGCUGUUCGCCAUUUAAAGUGGUACGCGAGCUGGGUUUAGAACGUCGUGAGACAGUUCGGUCCCUAUCUGCCGUGGGCGCUGGAGAACUGAGGGGGGCUGCUCCUAGUACGAGAGGACCGGAGUGGACGCAUCACUGGUGUUCGGGUUGUCAUGCCAAUGGCACUGCCCGGUAGCUAAAUGCGGAAGAGAUAAGUGCUGAAAGCAUCUAAGCACGAAACUUGCCCCGAGAUGAGUUCUCCCUGACCCUUUAAGGGUCCUGAAGGAACGUUGAAGACGACGACGUUGAUAGGCCGGGUGUGUAAGCGCAGCGAUGCGUUGAGCUAACCGGUACUAAUGAACCGUGAGGCUUAACCUUACAACGCCGAAG